GGAAGAGCUGUGGCUCAGUGGAAGAGCAUCUGCUUUGCACACAGAAGGUCCCAGGUUCAAUUCCUGGCAUUUCCA
This is a non-coding RNA of Zootoca vivipara (common lizard), 75 nucleotides long. Lineage: Eukaryota; Metazoa; Chordata; Lepidosauria; Squamata; Lacertidae. The record is from the annotation of a RefSeq genome assembly.